Molecule: ribosomal RNA, 292 nt
Filed under: uncultured bacterium
Lineage: Bacteria
Description: partial 16S ribosomal RNA
Rfam family: Bacterial small subunit ribosomal RNA
Source: RNAcentral
GUGCCAGCAGCCGCGGUAAUACGGAGGAUCCAAGCGUUAUCCGGAAUCAUUGGGUUUAAAGGGUCCGUAGGCGGUUUAAUAAGUCAGUGGUGAAAUCUGGUCGCUCAACGAUCAAACGGCCAUUGAUACUGUUAGACUUGAAUUACUGGGAAGUAACUAGAAUAUGUAGUGUAGCGGUGAAAUGCUUAGAUAUUACAUGGAAUACCAAUUGCGAAGGCAGGUUACUACCAGUGGAUUGACGCUGAUGGACGAAAGCGUGGGGAGCGAACAGGAUUAGAAACCCCCGUAGUCC